UACAAGGUUCACAUUGUGACUCGCAACAGAUAUUUAACGAUAUCAAUGUGUAGAUACAAAUAAUCCCUUAGAGUUUAAAUGAUGUGGAUGUAAGCAAUCAUGUGCCAACGUACGACCUUCAACAAUAAGAAAACCCAAUACCAUAUUAUUGGUAACAACCAAAACUAAUUUCAUAAUUUAUAACAAAAUGAUUUAUAAAAAAAAAACCCAGAAACGACAGACAUGAACCCACGACAACAGAAGACAUAAAGAUUGUGGCGGACUUAAACAAAUUGUGAGUGCUGAACUCUCUCCAUACAUAGGACAGUGGUGUAACAGCACAACA
This 325-nucleotide long non-coding RNA is filed under the name Mytilus galloprovincialis (Mediterranean mussel). Lineage: Eukaryota; Metazoa; Mollusca; Bivalvia; Mytilida; Mytilidae. The record is from RNAcentral.